RNAcentral lists this ribosomal RNA (468 nucleotides) under uncultured bacterium. RNAcentral's name for it is "partial 16S ribosomal RNA". It matches the Rfam family "Bacterial small subunit ribosomal RNA", at positions 28 to 507 of the family's 1533-position model. The record is from RNAcentral.
GACGAACGCUGGCGGCGUGCUUAACACAUGCAAGUCGAACGGAAAGGCCCUGCUUUUGUGGGGUGCUCGAGUGGCGAACGGGUGAGUAACACGUGAGUAACCUGCCCUUGACUUUGGGAUAACUUCAGGAAACUGGGGCUAAUACCGGAUAGGAGCUCCUGCUGCAUGGUGGGGGUUGGAAAGUUUCGGCGGUUGGGGAUGGACUCGCGGCUUAUCAGCUUGUUGGUGGGGUAGUGGCUUACCAAGGCUUUGACGGGUAGCCGGCCUGGGAGGGUGACCGGCCACAUUGGUCCUACGAUACGGCCCAGACUCCUACGGGAGGCAGCAGUGGGGAAUAUUGCACAAUGGGCCGAAGCCUGAUGCAGCAACGCCGCGUGCGGGAUGACGGCCUUCGGGUUGUAAACCGCUUUCGCCUGUGACGAAGCGUGAGUGACGGUAAUGGGUAAAGAAGCACCGGCUAACUACGUG